RNAcentral lists this ribosomal RNA (253 nucleotides) under uncultured bacterium. RNAcentral's name for it is "partial 16S ribosomal RNA". It matches the Rfam family "Bacterial small subunit ribosomal RNA", at positions 524 to 776 of the family's 1533-position model. The record is from RNAcentral.
UACGAAGGGGGCUAGCGUUGCUCGGAAUCACUGGGCGUAAAGGGUGCGUAGGCGGGUCUUUAAGUCAGGGGUGAAAUCCUGGAGCUCAACUCCAGAACUGCCUUUGAUACUGCGAAUCUCGAGUCCGGAAGAGGUGAGUGGAAUUCCUAGUGUAGAGGUGAAAUUCGUAGAUAUUAGGAAGAACACCAGUGGCGAAGGCGGCUCACUGGUCCGGUACUGACGCUGAGGUGCGAAAGCGUGGGGAGCAAACAGG